GAAAAUCCGUCGACUUUUAAAAUCGUGAGGGUUCAAGUCCCUCUAUCCCCAAAAAAAG
Molecule: transfer RNA, 58 nt
Filed under: Scrophularia ningpoensis
Lineage: Eukaryota; Viridiplantae; Streptophyta; Magnoliopsida; Lamiales; Scrophulariaceae
Also listed under: 4 other names
Description: partial tRNA-Leu
Source: RNAcentral